GGGAAAAAAGCAUAUAUGCGAUUAACUUGAAAUUAAUAGAUGGUAGUAUAAAGUGCUGCCUUUUCUCG
RNAcentral lists this transfer RNA (68 nucleotides) under Rhabdophis tigrinus (Tiger keelback). Its description in RNAcentral is "tRNA-Ser". The record is from RNAcentral. Lineage: Eukaryota; Metazoa; Chordata; Lepidosauria; Squamata; Natricidae.